GCUACAGUGCUACUGGCCCAUAAUCAGGCAACUGCAGAGUCUUAGGGGGUUAUCUAAUGUAGUCUUGGGGUGGCUGGAUAGACUUCCCAAAGAAGGUGAUGCCGAAGCUGAGGUCGGAAAUUACGAAGAUCAGCUAUCAAACUUGGAAAUCAUGUCUUAGAGAUCAAGGAGCCAAGAGAUGAGACAAGCCUGGGUUCCUAGGUGAUAGGGUGUGGCUGUGUCCCCACCCAAAUCUCGUCUUGAAUUGUAGCUCCCAUAAUCCCCACAUGUUGUGGAGGGACCCUGUGGAAGAUCUUUAAUAAAUGAAAUAAAUGUGACUGUAUGUCCUACAUCCCAUUCCUGUUGUCUUCCAUGUCUCCUCAGAGAUUGUGCCUGCAGCCUGGCCUGUUGCCCACAGCGGUCUACCUGCCACACUGGGAAAGAUCGAGCAGAGACAGAGAAGAAAAGGAGGCUCCAUUUUUCAGGCUGCUCUCCCGCAGGCUCAUGUUUUGUGUUCAUGCCAGGCAGAGAACACAAAAUGUUCCAAUAAAUAAGUAUCAAAGGUUAGUGGUGAAAAUGAAGGAGGAGGAGGCAUUGCGUGAAAAACUAAACAUGCAAAAUAUUACACACAAAGAGAACCAAAAUGCAGGUUCACUGGAAAUGAUAGACAAUAUGUUAAAACAAGAGGAGAGAAGAGAGCUGAAAUAAUCAAAUGGAAACACACAAUUUAGGGCUAAGAUCUUGUUGUGUUCAGCCACAAAUGAUGGCCAGCAGUGAGGAAUCUGUGUGUUCUCCACACUCUUCGCUCCUGGGAAGUCAACUCACAUGGACCAUGAUAUCAAUAUCUGCUCCUUCCCCUAAUAUCUGUUUGACCUUGGGUCAGUUACUUAAACUUCCUAAGCCUUAGUUUCUUUGUCUGGAAAAUAGGGAUAGUUAUACCUACCACACAACCACUUUGUAAUGAAUAUGUUGGAAAUUAUAUGCAAAUUGGCUUCCGUUGGUGUUUGGAACAUAGUAGGUUUUUAACUGGAAUAUAAUAGCUACCAUUAUCAGUAUCAUCAUAUUAAUUUAUAUUUCCAUCUUCAGCCCUUAACCCAGGAUCUUCAGUAAAUGUUGAAUUCUCAAAUUUGUUAAAUUCACUUGUCUAUACUAAUAUUUUACUCUAGGUUUCUUAGAAUAUUCUAGAUAAUAUUAUUAUGUAGAAUAUGUUAUGUAAGCUUCAUCUUAUCUGUAAAUAUAGUUUUACUUUUUCCUUUCUAAUUUUUAUGUCGAUUACUUCUUUUUCUUGGCUUAUUGAAUUGGCUAGGAUUCCCGUACAGUGUUGAAUACGUGCAGCAAGACUGCACAUCUUGCCUUGUUCCUGGUCCCACAGAGAGAAUAUCCAGUACUUCACAAUAAGUAUGUGUUAAUUGUAGAUUUUAUUAGAUUGAGGAAGUUCCCUUUCCUUUCAAGUCAGUCUUUUUAUUUUAAACAUGUAUUGAAGUUUUGUCAAAUGUCUUCAUCUAUUGGAAUAAUUAUACAUAUCUCUUUUUUAUUCUGUUAAUAUUACAUUUCAAUCUUCUGUCUACCUAAAAUCCCUAGAAUAAUCUCCAUUUGGCUAUGAUGUGUUGUGCUUUUAUAUAUUACUGAAUUCUAUAUGCCAAUAUUAUUAAAAUUUUCUGUCUUUAUGAGAAAUAUUUGAAUGUAUAUUUUUUCAUGUAUUUGUUUUGAUUUUAUUUUCAAUGCCAUUUUGUAAAAGAGCAUUAAAGUGUUAGUAUGAAAGUA
Molecule: long non-coding RNA, 1743 nt
Organism: Homo sapiens (human)
Lineage: Eukaryota; Metazoa; Chordata; Mammalia; Primates; Hominidae
Gene: CCDC26
Product: CCDC26 long non-coding RNA
Source: Ensembl